Molecule: long non-coding RNA, 910 nt
Organism: Bubalus bubalis (water buffalo)
Lineage: Eukaryota; Metazoa; Chordata; Mammalia; Artiodactyla; Bovidae
Exons: 5
Source: RefSeq, a predicted model, not a curated record
CAGCGAAGCUUCCGGGAGGCGGGGCCAAGGGGAGGAAGAAGGGAAAGAAAAGAGGAAGUCGCUUCAAUCUGGCAGCGUGAAGGACAAGACUCAAUCGGGCGGAGGUGACGCGCAUCGAGGGCGCCCCGCUUCCGGAAACUGGCGAUUGGCUGAUGGCGCCGUCAAUCCCCAGGGGAAAGGACUAACUUUCAGACAUCUCGGGAAAAUAUUACUGUGAGCCCCUUCUUGCUGAAAUAAAAGGUUCUGGAGAAAACCCAAGAGAUUCGGGAAAUGGUGCCAGGUCAAUUCAAGACACCCCUAUUCCACCCACACUUCAGAGUGCUGGAGAAGAUAUUGAGAAGACAGCAGACCUUUAUAGAACAUUUUAAUUCUCACCAUGUAGAUAACCAGAUUUUCCAGCUACUGUAUGUAUACCCCUUUUAUCCCUUUUCUUAUCUCACUAUGUUUUGAAGAGAGUGAUGACACUGAAGAUUCCCUCUCUCGUGUAUUUUUUUCUACCACAGGAAGAAUAAGACUGACAAUACUGACCACUCAGUUACAGUUACUACACGGCUGUGAAGUCAGCUGAGACUACCUCCAGCAUCCCAGCUCUUGUACAGUCUCUAAAGCUGGAUUCCUGCUCCUGUCACCUCCAUGGUAUUUGUGCUCUCAGCCAACUCUCCUCUCUCCACCUCCUCAGAACCUCAGGAAACACUGUGACCCUACACAUGCACAUACUGGCUAUUGUGAACUUAAGCUGAUGUGUUACCUCUUACAAGCAACUCAUUCACAUUCGCAGUUUGCUUGAACUUUACUGCAAGGAGAUCCAACCAGUCCAUUCUGAAGGAGAUCAGCCCUGGGAUUUCUUUGGAAGGAAUGAUGCUAGAGCUGAAACUCCAGUCCUUUAGCCACCUCAUGCGAAGAGUUGACU